AUGCAGUAUUGACAAAGAGACUUGAAUAUUAUGAAAGUUCUUCUACUGUCACUUCACAUUGAAGAAUAUGCUGCUAGAAUAAAAGCUCUAGUUUGAGGGAGGGGAUCGUUCGAAUGGUUUUUUCCCAUAGAAUGAGUAUACAUUU
Small nucleolar RNA from Schizosaccharomyces osmophilus, 145 nucleotides. The record is from RefSeq and is a predicted model, not a curated record. NCBI's taxonomy places the organism in Eukaryota, Fungi, Ascomycota, Schizosaccharomycetes, Schizosaccharomycetales, Schizosaccharomycetaceae.